AUGGCGAACCAGCUGCCGGUGCAGCAGCAGGUCGACCCGCUUGGACAUGAACAUCUCAACCAGCAGCGCAUGUGCGCCCCGCGGCAGCAAAGCCUAAACAACGUUCCUGUCAUCCACCUUGACAUCGGACGUCCACCGCAUGGAGAAGAAGACGACCUGGCCCAGCGCUAUGAGAAUUUCGUGCGAAUAAUCAUCCGCCGGUUAACAAAGAUCUGCCCUGCAACCUAUUACGGAAAGCCAAUUACCCCAUACCCAAAUGCAGCGAACCAUCCUACUAACGGUCAUAGCUACUUCCGUGUCGUGUUCUUUUCAAGCACCAAUGAUUAUGCGAGAGUGGAAUUCCUGAUAAGGGACUUUGACCUCUAUCUACUGGGAUUUACAAGGCAGCUGGAUGGCGAGUGGUCGCCUUGGUACCGUUUUACACCUUCUCUGGGGUGGCCGUCAUUCGACAUGGGCCAAGUUGUAAAUUAUAGGUUUGAUGGGGGACAUGAGCACAGCGUUGACAUGGGUGGUCGCGAAACUCUAGAGUUCAUCUUCGACACAAUUUGGACGUGGCACCCGAAUGAUGUGAGAAGCACAAAUCUGAAGCUGGCGGUUGAAAAAGCUUUCACGCUUAUUUGCGAAGCACUACGAUUCCAGUAUGUUUUUGAUGAGCUAGUAAGGAGGAUCCAAUAUGGAGAGGAUUCAAGUCCCCUGGACAUUGCAGACCUGCCUAGAGAGAGAGUCUGGAAGCGCAUUGGCAGCUGGGGCGUCAUGUGUGAAGUUGCCUUAGAAGCAGGCCUCAAUGGUGGCUUGCUAAGAACCAGAGACAAGAUGAAGGAUUACGACCGAAUCUACCAUAUCAACAGCUUCCUGGAUAUGAUAAAUGGACUCAGUGUUCUCAAGAGGAUCGAGAAAUCUCAUCUGAUCCCGCCGGUGCAUCAGCGAACCCCGGCCUAUGGAAUGCCUGUUCUUGAACCGGGCUUCAUACCGCUGGACCAAGAUUAUCCCCCGGACAAUUGGUGA
RNAcentral lists this ribosomal RNA (1005 nucleotides) under Triticum aestivum (bread wheat). Its description in RNAcentral is "partial small subunit ribosomal RNA". Lineage: Eukaryota; Viridiplantae; Streptophyta; Magnoliopsida; Poales; Poaceae. The record is from RNAcentral.